UGCAAGUCGAACGAUGAACCACUUCGGUGGGGAUUAGUGGCGAACGGGUGAGUAACACGUGGGCAAUCUGCCCUGCACUCUGGGACAAGCCCUGGAAACGGGGUCUAAUACCGGAUACUGACCCGCUUGGGCAUCCAAGCGGUUCGAAAGCUCCGGCGGUGCAGGAUGAGCCCGCGGCCUAUCAGCUUGUUGGUGAGGUAAUGGCUCACCAAGGCGACGACGGGUAGCCGGCCUGAGAGGGCGACCGGCCACACUGGGACUGAGACACGGCCCAGACUCCUACGGGAGGCAGCAGUGGGGAAUAUUGCACAAUGGGCGAAAGCCUGAUGCAGCGACGCCGCGUGAGGGAUGACGGCCUUCGGGUUGUAAACCUCUUUCAGCAGGGAAGAAGCGAAAGUGACGGUACCUGCAGAAGAAGCGCCGGCUAACUACGUGCCAGCAGCCGCGGUAAUACGUAGGGCGCGAGCGUUGUCCGGAAUUAUUGGGCGUAAAGAGCUCGUAGGCGGCUUGUCACGUCGGUUGUGAAAGCCCGGGGCUUAACCCCGGGUCUGCAGUCGAUACGGGCAGGCUAGAGUUCGGUAGGGGAGAUCGGAAUUCCUGGUGUAGCGGUGAAAUGCGCAGAUAUCAGGAGGAACACCGGUGGCGAAGGCGGAUCUCUGGGCCGAUACUGACGCUGAGGAGCGAAAGCGUGGGGAGCGAACAGGAUUAGAUACCCUGGUAGUCCACGCCGUAAACGGUGGGCACUAGGUGUGGGCGACAUUCCACGUCGUCCGUGCCGCAGCUAACGCAUUAAGUGCCCCGCCUGGGGAGUACGGCCGCAAGGCUAAAAC
RNAcentral lists this ribosomal RNA (830 nucleotides) under Streptomyces sp. Its description in RNAcentral is "bacterial SSU rRNA". It matches the Rfam family "Bacterial small subunit ribosomal RNA", at positions 56 to 900 of the family's 1533-position model. Lineage: Bacteria; Bacillati; Actinomycetota; Actinomycetes; Kitasatosporales; Streptomycetaceae. The record is from RNAcentral.